Molecule: long non-coding RNA, 1267 nt
Filed under: Equus caballus (horse)
Lineage: Eukaryota; Metazoa; Chordata; Mammalia; Perissodactyla; Equidae
Description: lncRNA (ENSECAG00000053284.1)
Source: RNAcentral
GUCUGUUUAUGGGAAAUAUAUGCUUCCUCCCCUCCAGCGCAGCUCAGGAACCGUCAUUUAAGUAGUGCCUGUGUAUCCUGGGGCUUGAGAUGUGUGCACUCAUUUCGUCCUCCCAGGGCCUUGGAGGGACAGAUGGUGCCAGCACGCUGUUUGCUAAGGGGCCCAGGAGGGUCAGACAUCCAACCCAGACCCUGCUUCUUUCCCCAGAGCCAUAAAGGCACAGUGAGGAAUAGUGACCAGGGAGAGGCCAGGAACCCUUGAGGGCUACCUGGAGCUUUGACAACCCAGUCAGCGGGGAGGGGCACAGUAUGUGGAGAAAGCCAUCUUUCCUAAGCUGGUUAGGCCUAAAUAGCUUCAGGCCAAAAAAGGCUGUCAGACCUGCUCUGUCAGUGACCCCCAACAGCACACCCAACGCCCACACACCUGCCGAACCCAAAUCUCACCCUGAGGUGAGGAAAGGAGCUACAUGCACAGUCAGGCACUAAGCUGGCCUGGGAAGAGGCCCGGCCUGGCCCCAGCACCAGAUGGUGUCCUUGAGGAAAAGGGAGAGAGACCAUGGGCAGAGACCAUCCCGCAUGGAAGCCACUCCCAGCCCCCGAUGCCCCAACUGAAGAGGAAGGCAGGAGAGCCCCAGCCACACUGGAAUGCAAUGACUGAACCCACAGCUGCUCCCACACACAGAGGCGCGGCCCAGCCAGCAUUUGGGAGGGCCGCUGCUCAGCUAUGACCUGGCCCAUGCAGCAGGAGCCUGGGACACUCAGAGUGGAGGCCCUUGUGGCAGCUGAGCUCCCAUCCCUGUGUCACUCACUGACCCUGAACACCACGGAGGACACACAGGCUUCUGGGUCUGUGCUCACCCCUCAGGAAGAUUAGCCUUGAGCUAACACCUGCUGCCAAUCCUCCUGUUUUUGCUGAGGAAGACUGGCCCUGAGCUCACAUGGGUGCCCAUCUUCCUCUACUUUAUAUGUGGGAUGCCUACCACAGCAUGGAUUGCCAAGCGGUGCCAUGUCUGCACCCGGAAUGUAACCAGCGUACCCCGGGCUACUGAAGCGGAAUGUGCACACUUAACCUCUGUACCACCGGGCUGGCCUCAAGGAUGAUCUCUCUUCUGUGGCUCCCAUAAACACUAGAGAAAAGGCCAAGCUCCUGAAAAACAGGUACAAAGACCUUUCCUUCUGUUUCUUUUCCAUCAACCCAGCUCAGUCUUGGGUACCCAGCCUGUUCCCAGGAAGGAGUCAUGGCUACUCUUCUGGAGCACCUCCGUUGC